UGGGGAAUCUUGCACAAUGGGCGCAAGCCUGAUGCAGCAACGCCGCGUGCGGGAAGACGGCCCUAGGGUUGUAAACCGCUUUCAGGAGGGAAGAAAUGACGGUACCUCCAGAAGAAGGUGCGGCCAACUACGUGCCAGCAGCCGCGGUGACACGUAGGCACCAAGCGUUAUCCGGAUUUAUUGGGCGUAAAGAGCUCGUAGGCGGUUCGGUAAGUCGGGUGUGAAAUCCAAGGCUCAACCUUGGGACGCCACCCGAUACUGCUGUGACUCGAGUGCAGUAGGGGAGCAGGGAAUUCCUGGUGUAGCGGUGAAAUGCGCAGAUAUCAGGAGGAACACCAGUGGCGAAGGCGCUGCUCUGGGGCUGUAACUGACGCUGAGGAGCGAAAAGCAUGGGGUAGCAAAACAGGAUUAGAUACCCUGGUAGUCCAUGCCGUAAAACGUUGGGCACUAGGUGUGGGUCUCAACCAACGAGAUCCGCGCCGUCGCUAACGCAUUAAGCACUCCGCCUGGGGAGUACGGCCGCAAGGUUAAAACUC
Molecule: ribosomal RNA, 536 nt
Filed under: uncultured bacterium
Lineage: Bacteria
Description: bacterial SSU rRNA
Rfam family: Bacterial small subunit ribosomal RNA
Source: RNAcentral